GUGAGUAGUUCAGAGUUUGAUCCUGGCUCAGGACGAACGCUGGCGGCGUGCUUAACACAUGCAAGUCGAACGGAGCUUAUAUGAUAGAGACUUCGGUCAAUUGAUUAUAAGCUUAGUGGCGGACGGGUGAGUAACGCGUGAGGAAUCUGCCUUGGAGUGGGGAAUAACACAGUGAAAAUUGUGCUAAUACCGCAUAAUGCAGUUGAGUCGCAUGGCUCUGACUGCCAAAGAUUUAUCGCUCUGAGAUGACCUCGCGUCUGAUUAGCUAGUUGGUAGGGUAACGGCCUACCAAGGCGACGAUCAGUAGCCGGACUGAGAGGUUGGCCGGCCACAUUGGGACUGAGACACGGCCCAG
This 355-nucleotide ribosomal RNA is filed under the name uncultured bacterium. RNAcentral's name for it is "bacterial SSU rRNA". It matches the Rfam family "Bacterial small subunit ribosomal RNA", at positions 1 to 334 of the family's 1533-position model. The record is from RNAcentral.